ACGACCAGUCCAUUGCAGAGUCUCACGAAAUCCCUAUAUAACACAGUUUGAUAGAAUCCAUGCUUCUUCCUCCCAUUACUCGAUCUUUCUCAUUCCACUCCAGGUUCAGGAGACUAAUUUCGUCGAACUGCAGAAAUUCAAAAAUGGGUCCAGAAAAUCUGAGUCUAAUUGAUAAAAGACAUCGUGCAAGUUUUCGGCUAUGCAGCGUUUCAGGUAUUACGAAUAUGGAUAAACACCAAUGUGAUUGAGAUAGUAGAAGACACUGUUAAUUUGGACCCAAUUGUUGGAGUUGCAAUAUGAAGCACAUUCAUCAUUCUGUAUAGUGGAUUUAUGUUUUACUAAUCUAGUUCGUUUGGUGUAGAAAUUAUCAUCAUACUUUCCUUUU
Nicotiana attenuata is the source of this 385-nucleotide long non-coding RNA. RefSeq lists it as uncharacterized. The transcript is spliced from 2 exons. Lineage: Eukaryota; Viridiplantae; Streptophyta; Magnoliopsida; Solanales; Solanaceae. The record is from RefSeq and is a predicted model, not a curated record.